CGGACGGGCGAGUAAUGUCUGGGAAACUGCCCGAUGGAGGGGGAUAACUACUGGAAACGGUAGCUAAUACCGCAUAACGUCGCAAGACCAAAGAGGGGGACCUUCGGGCCUCUUGCCAUCGGAUGUGCCCAGAUGGGAUUAGCUAGUAGGUGGGGUAACGGCUCACCUAGGCGACGAUCCCUAGCUGGUCUGAGAGGAUGAUCAGCCACACUGGGACUGAGACACGGCCCAG
Molecule: ribosomal RNA, 232 nt
Filed under: uncultured bacterium
Lineage: Bacteria
Description: partial 16S ribosomal RNA
Rfam family: Bacterial small subunit ribosomal RNA
Source: RNAcentral